RNAcentral lists this ribosomal RNA (403 nucleotides) under Verrucomicrobiota bacterium. Its description in RNAcentral is "Verrucomicrobia bacterium partial 16S ribosomal RNA". It matches the Rfam family "Bacterial small subunit ribosomal RNA", at positions 355 to 776 of the family's 1533-position model. Lineage: Bacteria; Pseudomonadati; Verrucomicrobiota. The record is from RNAcentral.
UGGGGAAUAUUGCACAAUGGGCGCAAGCCUGAUGCAGCAACGCCGCGUGAACGAUGAAUGUCUUCGGAUCGUAAAGUUCUGUUGCCGGGGAAGAUAAUGACGGUACCCUGUGAGGAAGCUCCUGCUAACUACGUGCCAGCAGCCGCGGUAAUACGUAGGGGGCUAGCGUUAUUCGGAUUUACUGGGCGUAAAAGGUGCGUAGGUGGUCAUUCAAGUCGGUGGUUAAAGGCUACGGCUCAACCGUAGUUAGCCUCCGAAACAGGAAGACAUGAGUGCAGGAGAGGAAAGUGGAAUUCCCAGUGUAGCGGUGAAAUGCGUAGAUAUUGGGAGGAACACCAGUAGCGAAGGCGGCUUUCUGGACUGAAACUGACACUGAGGAACGAAAGCGUGGGUAGCAAACGGG